UCCACUAUCAUCGUACGCACCCUCCUCGCACUCGGUCUCACGUUCCAGCUCUAGCUGUUGGUCUCCACCCUCCUUUGCCUGCUCCCAGCCUCCCUGGACCUCCUCCCAUGGACAUUCACCUCGAAGAGCUCUCUAGGAAUCCAUAAGCUCAGCUCGGGAACCAGCACCGCCGGGCUUGGCAUGGCCAUGGCACAGCCUGCCCAUCCCAUCCUCUUGGAUCUCCCCAUGGUACUCCCCAACCUUCGCCACAACGGCUCCCUCAACGCAUCCCUACUUGACUCCCAUGGAGGCUCCGUCUCUGUCUUGCAAUGGAGGCCCUCGUAGCUGCUUCUCGCUUCGACCUUGUUAUGGCGCUGGAUGUGGUAUACUACGAGGUGUUGGUUGCCCUUGAUAGAGACGUUGCGGUUUUUCAUCAAGUGGGAGGUUGUGUUCGGGAUG
Molecule: small RNA, 438 nt
Filed under: Oryza sativa Japonica Group (Japanese rice)
Lineage: Eukaryota; Viridiplantae; Streptophyta; Magnoliopsida; Poales; Poaceae
Description: sRNA Os08g0336250
Source: RNAcentral